GGAGUUGUGCCUGAAACAAAGGGUCACUUUGAUAGAGUGAAUUAUGGGGGAUAAAGCCCCUCCGCCUCCU
This 70-nucleotide transfer RNA is filed under the name Parachaenichthys charcoti. RNAcentral's name for it is "tRNA-Ile". Lineage: Eukaryota; Metazoa; Chordata; Actinopteri; Perciformes; Bathydraconidae. The record is from RNAcentral.